GAUGAACGCUAGCGGCAGGCCUAAUACAUGCAAGUCGGACGGUAGACGAUCUUUCGGGAUUGUUGAGAGUGGCGCACGGGUGCGUAACGCGUAUGCAACCUACCUUAUACUGUGGGAUAGCCCGGGGAAACCCGGAUUAAUACCGCAUGGUACCAUCAGAUGGCAUCUGAAGAUGGUUAAAGCCCCGGCAUCUGUCGGGGCGGUAUAAGAUGGGCAUGCGUAGGAUUAGCUGGUUGGCGGGGUAACGGCCCACCAAGGCGACGAUGGAUAGGGGAACUGAGAGGUUUAUCCCCCACACUGGUACUGAGACACGGACCAGACUCCUACGGGAGGCAGCAGUGGGGAAUAUUGGUCAAUGGACGCAAGUCUGAACCAGCCACGUCGCGUGAAGGAAGACGGCCCUACGGGUUGUAAACUUCUUUUAUACGGGAAUAAAGUGCCCCACGCGUGGGGUUUUGCAUGUACCGUAUGAAUAAGGAUCGGCUAACUCCGUGCCAGCAG
RNAcentral lists this ribosomal RNA (501 nucleotides) under uncultured bacterium. Its description in RNAcentral is "bacterial SSU rRNA". It matches the Rfam family "Bacterial small subunit ribosomal RNA", at positions 28 to 514 of the family's 1533-position model. The record is from RNAcentral.